CGGAUUGCCUUUAUUAGGCACGAAAGCGUGGGGAGCAAACAGGAUUAGCCCUUCGUGGUAGUCCACGCCCUAAACGAUGCGAACUGGAUGUUGGGCUCAACUUGGAGCUCAGUAUCGAAGCUCCCGCGUUAAGUUCGCCGCCUGGGGAGUACGGUGGGGGGGGGGGGGGGGAAAGGAAUUGGCAGGGGCUCGCACAAGCGGUGGUG
This 206-nucleotide unclassified non-coding RNA is filed under the name uncultured Gammaproteobacteria bacterium. RNAcentral's name for it is "partial contains 16S ribosomal RNA, 16S-23S ribosomal RNA intergenic spacer, and 23S ribosomal RNA". It matches the Rfam family "Bacterial small subunit ribosomal RNA", at positions 734 to 937 of the family's 1533-position model. The record is from RNAcentral. Lineage: Bacteria; Pseudomonadati; Pseudomonadota; Gammaproteobacteria.